This is a long non-coding RNA of Pogona vitticeps (central bearded dragon), 368 nucleotides long. The record is from Ensembl. Lineage: Eukaryota; Metazoa; Chordata; Lepidosauria; Squamata; Agamidae.
AAGUAACUUCCCCAAACUCUUUAUUUUAGAUUGAGCUCAGUGAAAUACCCAGAGCUACUUUAACUAUUGUAACUAAAUCUGCAGGGACCAGAACCAUCACUCCAGUGUAGCAAGCUGUACACAAGAAUAUCUUUGUAAAAGCAAGGGGUCAGCUCCAUCAGAACACUGUGUUACACAGACAUCAAGACAAAUGAAUACAGCCGAUCGUAUUAAAAUAAAAUAUGAAAGUAAAGAGUUUACUUGACGGCAGAUGUGCAUCAAGGAGUCUGUUGACAAAGAGCAGGCUAUUUACAAAAUUUUAAACGACUAGAAUUUCCACUUGGCAACAUAUCCUUGGAGGCUGCUUCAAGUUUUCAAGUUCUGUUUGU